RNAcentral lists this ribosomal RNA (493 nucleotides) under uncultured bacterium. Its description in RNAcentral is "bacterial SSU rRNA". It matches the Rfam family "Bacterial small subunit ribosomal RNA", at positions 28 to 502 of the family's 1533-position model. The record is from RNAcentral.
GAUGAACGCUAGCUACAGGCUUAACACAUGCAAGUCGAGGGGCAGCAUGGUCUUAGCUUGCUAAGGCCGAUGGCGACCGGCGCACGGGUGAGUAACGCGUAUCCAACCUGCCUUACACUCUUGGGCAGCCUCCUGAAAGGGAGAUUAAUACAAGAUGUUAUCAUGAGUAAGCAUUUUCGCAUGAUUUUGAUAUUAAAGAAUUUCGGUUAUCGAUGGGGAUGCGUUCCAUUAGUUUGUUGGCGGGGUAACGGCCCACCAAGACUACGAUGGAUAGGGGUUCUGAGAGGAAGGUCCCCCACAUUGGAACUGAGACACGGUCCAAAACUCCUACGGGAGGCAGCAGUGAGGAAUAUUGGUCAAUGGACGAGAGUCUGAACCAGCCAAGUAGCGUGAAGGAUGACUGCCCUAUGGGUUGUAAACUUCUUUUAUAUGGGAAUAAAGUAUUCACGUGUGGGAUUUUGUAUGUACCAUAUGAACUAAGGAUCGGCUAACU